UCGCAUCCUGCGCGGCCGUGGCGAGCAGGACAAGGAGGAUGAAGAGCAGCGCACGAGCCUGCUUGCAGCCCGAGGACGGUGAACCCCGCCGUGCACCCAUUGGCUUCAUCUUCAUGGAAAGCUAGCAGACCCGAAUAUGCAACCACGUUCGGAGGAGGAGCUCGAUCCGGGAAGAGAAUGAGAAUGAUCUGGCUGGGUUCCCU
Molecule: long non-coding RNA, 203 nt
Filed under: Brachypodium distachyon (stiff brome)
Lineage: Eukaryota; Viridiplantae; Streptophyta; Magnoliopsida; Poales; Poaceae
Description: long non-coding RNA (BDIS_LNC000107)
Source: RNAcentral